This 332-nucleotide ribosomal RNA is filed under the name uncultured bacterium. Its description in RNAcentral is "bacterial SSU rRNA". It matches the Rfam family "Bacterial small subunit ribosomal RNA", at positions 568 to 898 of the family's 1533-position model. The record is from RNAcentral.
CGCGCAGGCGGCGCGAGAAGUCAGGCGUGAAAGCCCCCGGGCUCAACCUGGGAGUUGCGUUUGAUACUCUGGUGCUGGAGUACGGGAGAGGAGAGUGGAAUUCCCAGUGUAGAGGUGAAAUUCGUAGAUAUUGGGAAGAACACCGGUGGCGAAGGCGGCUCUCUGGACCGUAACUGACGCUGAGGCGCGAAAGCGUGGGGAGCAAACAGGAUUAGAUACCCUGGUAGUCCACGCUGUAAACGAUGUGUGCUAGACGUUGGCGGGCCUAGCCCGCCGGUGUCGCAGCUAACGCUUUAAGCACACCGCCUGGGGAGUACGGCCGCAAGGUUAAA